CCUACGGGUGGCAGAAGUGGGGAAUAUUGCGCAAUGGGCGAAAGCCUGACGCAGCGAUGCCGCGUGAGGGAAGAAGGUCUUCGGAUCGUAAAACUCUGUCAGCAGGGAAGAACGGUCACUGUGCUAAUCAGCAGUGAAUUGACGGUACCUGCAAAGGAAGCACCGGCUAACUCCGUGCCAGCAGCCGCGGUAAUACGGAGGGUGCGAGCGUUAAUCGGAAUUACGGGGCGUAAAGCGCACGUAGGCGGUAUGUUAAGUCAAGUGUGAAAUCCCCGCGCUCAACGUGGGAACUGCCUUUGAAACUGGCAAACUGGAGUGUGUGAGAGGAUAGUGGAAUUCCAGGUGUAGGAGUGAAAUGCGUAGAUAUCUGGAGGAACAUCAGUGGCGAAGGCGACUAUCUGGAACAUAACUGACGCUGAGGAGCGAAAGCGUGGGUAGCAAACAGGAUUAGAUACCCCAGUAGUC
This 465-nucleotide ribosomal RNA is filed under the name uncultured bacterium. RNAcentral describes it as "partial 16S ribosomal RNA". It matches the Rfam family "Bacterial small subunit ribosomal RNA", at positions 338 to 795 of the family's 1533-position model. The record is from RNAcentral.